UGUGACAUACCACUUGUUGCCUCGGCGGAUCAGCCCGCUCCCGGUAAAACGGGACGGCCCGCCAGAGGACCCCUAAACUCUGUUUCUAUAUGUAACUUCUGAGUAAAACCAUAAAUAAAUCAAAACUUUCAACAACGGAUCUCUUGGUUCUGGCAUCGAUGAAGAACGCAGCAAAAUGCGAUAAGUAAUGUGAAUUGCAGAAUUCAGUGAAUCAUCGAAUCUUUGAACGCACAUUGCGCCCGCCAGUAUUCUGGCGGGCAUGCCUGUUCGAGCGUCAUUUCAACCCUCAAGCACAGCUUGGUGUUGGGACUCGCGUUAAUUCGCGUUCCCCAAAUUGAUUGGCGGUCACGUCGAGCUUCCAUAGCGUAGUAGUAAAACCCUCGUUACUGGUAAUCGUCGCGGCCACGCCGUUAAACCCCAACUUCUGAAUGUUGACCUCGGAUCAGGUAGGAAUACCCGCUGAACUUAAGCAUAUCAUA
RNAcentral lists this ribosomal RNA (479 nucleotides) under Fusarium oxysporum. Its description in RNAcentral is "eukaryotic LSU rRNA". The stretch from base 124 to 277 matches the Rfam family "5.8S ribosomal RNA". The record is from RNAcentral. Lineage: Eukaryota; Fungi; Ascomycota; Sordariomycetes; Hypocreales; Nectriaceae.